UACGGAAGGCAGCAGGGGGAAUAUUGCACAAUGGGCGCAAGCCUGAUGCAGCCAUGCCGCGUGUAUGAAGAAGGCCUUCGGGUUGUAAAGUACUUUCAGUCGUGAGGAAGGUGUUAAGGUUAAUAACCUUAGCAAUUGACGUUAGCGACAGAAGAAGCACCGGCUAACUCCGUGCCAGCAGCCGCGGUAAUACGGAGGGUGCGAGCGUUAAUCGGAAUUACUGGGCGUAAAGGGCACGCAGGCGGUUAAUUAAGUUGGAUGUGAAAUCCCUGGGCUUAACCUGGGAAUGGCAUUCAAGACUGGUUAGCUAGAGUCUUGUAGAGGGGGUAGAAUUCCAUGUGUAGCGGUGAAAUGCGUAGAGAUGUGGAGGAAUACCGGUGGCGAAGGCGGCCCCUGGACAAAGACUGACGCUCAUGUGCGAAAGCGUGGGGAGCAAACAGGAUUAGAUACC
This 451-nucleotide ribosomal RNA is filed under the name uncultured bacterium. Its description in RNAcentral is "bacterial SSU rRNA". It matches the Rfam family "Bacterial small subunit ribosomal RNA", at positions 340 to 786 of the family's 1533-position model. The record is from RNAcentral.